RNAcentral lists this long non-coding RNA (206 nucleotides) under Elaeis guineensis (African oil palm). RNAcentral describes it as "long non-coding RNA (EGUI_LNC002969)". The record is from RNAcentral. Lineage: Eukaryota; Viridiplantae; Streptophyta; Magnoliopsida; Arecales; Arecaceae.
AAACCAAUUGAUGAUGGAUCCCUCCAUUAAAUGGUUCUACAAAUUUUGGCACUUAAUUUCUGAUGCUUCAACCAUAAUGCUUUAAAAUAAAACAAUACAAUACAAUAAAAUAAAAUAAAAUAAUGUUUAAACCUUCGGUUAAAAUAAAAUUGUACAACCUCUCAUACGCUUGUUGCUUUAUAAAUCAUGAAGCAAAACAAGGAACA